This 468-nucleotide ribosomal RNA is filed under the name uncultured bacterium. RNAcentral describes it as "partial 16S ribosomal RNA". It matches the Rfam family "Bacterial small subunit ribosomal RNA", at positions 28 to 507 of the family's 1533-position model. The record is from RNAcentral.
GACGAACGCUGGCGGCGUGCUUAACACAUGCAAGUCGAACGGAAAGGCCCUGCUUUUGUGGGGUGCUCGAGUGGCGAACGGGUGAGUAACACGUGAGUAACCUGCCCUUGACUUUGGGAUAACUUCAGGAAACUGGGGCUAAUACCGGAUAGGAGCUCCUGCUGCAUGGUGGGGGUUGGAAAGUUUCGGCGGUUGGGGAUGGACUCGCGGCUUAUCAGCUUGUUGGUGGGGUAGUGGCUUACCAAGGCUUUGACGGGUAGCCGGCCUGAGAGGGUGACCGGCCAAAUUGGGACUGAGAUACGGCCCAGACUCCUACGGGAGGCAGGAGUGGGGAAUAUUGCAAAAUGGGCGGAAGCCUGAUGCAGCAAAGCCGCGUGCGGGAUGACGGCCUUCGGGUUGUAAACCGCUUUCGCCUGUGACGAAGCGUGAGUGACGGUAAUGGGUAAAGAAGCACCGGCUAACUACGUG